UACGUAGGGUGCGAGCGUUGUCCGGAAUUAUUGGGCGUAAAGGGCUCGUAGGCGGUCUGUCGCGUCGGUUGUGAAAACUCAGGGCUUAACCCUGAGCCUGCUUCCGAUACUGGCAGACUAGAGGUAUGCAGGGGAGAAUGGAAUUCCUGGUGUAGCGGUGAAAUGCGCAGAUAUCAGGAGGAACACCAGUGGCGAAGGCGGUUCUCUGGGCAUUACCUGACGCUGAGGAGCGAAAGUGUGGGGAGCGAACAGG
This 253-nucleotide ribosomal RNA is filed under the name uncultured bacterium. RNAcentral's name for it is "partial 16S ribosomal RNA". It matches the Rfam family "Bacterial small subunit ribosomal RNA", at positions 524 to 776 of the family's 1533-position model. The record is from RNAcentral.